AUCCAUAGACAUGCGCAUUUUAUACGAGAGUAUUAUUGGAGAGGGAGUGAGUGCACUCGCUUACACAUAUACGAUACUCUUUCUCAGUUUCCUCUCAUUGAGUAUGUAUGUGUGCGUGCAUAUAUAUGUGUAUGUAUGUAUGUAUCUAUGUAUUCAUGUAUGUAUGUAUGUACGUAUGUGUAUGUGGGAACGCGCGUGUACGUGUCGAAGCCGGGGUCCUUGCUCCCUGCCGCCGUAUGUGGGUCAGCAGUCUCACACACGUUGCUAUUCUUGCGUAACCAAUGCAUGCAUACGACCGAGAGCCGACGCUGCCGUCGCUACCGCCGCCGCCGCCGCCGCCGCCGCCGCCGCCGCCGCCGCCGCCGCCGCUGCCGUCGCCGUCGCCGUCGCCACUGCCGGCGUGCACAUGCACACACCGAGACGGAAAGUGCAGCCAAUGCACUAACCUACGGUCUCUUCUUGAGAGGCCGGAGUGCCGACGACUACGCGACGACUACAAAGACUACAAUUGGAUAUUGUCGUAGGUCGGGAUUCGACAGGACCGGUAGUUCCGGUCGAGACACGUGGUCAGCUUGAGAUCGCAUGGAAGAUGGAGGGACUGAAGGAGGAGAAGGAGAAGGAGGAGAAGAAGAGAAAAAAGAAGAAGGGGAUGUAUUAGAUUUUCGUUCGAGUCCUUCUUCCGUUUUAUCAAUAGAUAAACGUAGAGUCGAUUAAUUUCGAUCUUAUUGAAGCACAAUCAAAAACAACAUCAUCAUGAUCAUCUUCAUUAUUAUCGUCGUCGUCGUCGUCGUCGUCGUCAUCGUCGUUGUCAUUUCGUUACAUUCACUAUCACCACUGUUAAACCGUUAAUAACACAAUUACUGUCAAUGGUCACAGGUGCAUAGGAAAAACUAUACAUUCAAAUGUAGACGAUAUUAAUAACAUUGAAACUUUUACGAGAGAAACAAAAUU
Vespa mandarinia (Asian giant hornet) is the source of this 951-nucleotide unclassified non-coding RNA. NCBI's taxonomy places the organism in Eukaryota, Metazoa, Arthropoda, Insecta, Hymenoptera, Vespidae. The record is from RefSeq and is a predicted model, not a curated record.